This 253-nucleotide ribosomal RNA is filed under the name uncultured bacterium. Its description in RNAcentral is "partial 16S ribosomal RNA". It matches the Rfam family "Bacterial small subunit ribosomal RNA", at positions 524 to 776 of the family's 1533-position model. The record is from RNAcentral.
UACAGAGGUCCCGAGCGUUGUUCGGAUUCACUGGGCGUAAAGGGUGCGUAGGUGGCAUAGAAAGUUUGAUGUGAAAUCCCCGGGCUUAACCUGGGAAUGGCAUUUGGGACUGCAAGGCUUGAGUUUGGCAGAGGAGACUGGAAUUCCUGGUGUAGCAGUGAAAUGCGUAGAUAUCAGGAGGAAUACCGAUGGCGAAGGCAGGUCUCUGGGCUAGAACUGACGCUCAUGCACGAAAGCGUGGGGAGCAAACAGG